RNAcentral lists this ribosomal RNA (468 nucleotides) under uncultured bacterium. RNAcentral's name for it is "partial 16S ribosomal RNA". It matches the Rfam family "Bacterial small subunit ribosomal RNA", at positions 28 to 507 of the family's 1533-position model. The record is from RNAcentral.
GACGAACGCUGGCGGCGUGCUUAACACAUGCAAGUCGAACGGAAAGGCCCUGCUUUUGUGGGGUGCUCGAGUGGCGAACGGGUGAGUAACACGUGAGUAACCUGCCCCUGACUUUGGGAUAACUUCAGGAAACUGGGGCUAAUACCGGAUAGGAGCUCCUGCUGCAUGGUGGGGGUUGGAAAGUUUCGGCGGUUGGGGAUGGACUCGCGGCUUAUCAGCUUGUUGGUGGGGUAGUGGCUUACCAAGGCUGUGACGGAUAGCCGGCCUGAGAGGGUGACCGGCCACAUUGGGACUGAGAUACGGCCCAGACUCCUACGGGAGGCAGCAGUGGGGAAUAUUGCACAAUGGGCGGAAGCCUGAUGCAGCGACGCCGCGUGCGGGAUGACGGCCUUCGGGUUGUAAACCGAUUUCGCCUGUGACGAAGCGUGAGUGACGGUAAUGGGUAAAGAAGCACCGGCUAACUACGUG